Molecule: ribosomal RNA, 987 nt
Filed under: Tasmanitachoides cf. rufescens OSAC:DRMaddison DNA2032
Lineage: Eukaryota; Metazoa; Arthropoda; Insecta; Coleoptera; Carabidae
Description: partial 28S large subunit ribosomal RNA
Rfam family: Eukaryotic large subunit ribosomal RNA
Source: RNAcentral
AGCCCAGCACUGAAGCCCGUAGUCUAUAAUGGUUACUGGGCAAUGUAGUGUAUAGGAGAGCCCGUUUAACCCAAAUAUUUAAUUAGCGCGUCCAAGUCCUUCUUGAAGGGGGCCAAUUACCCAUAGAGGGUGCCAGGCCCGUUGUGACCGUUAAUUUGUUUGGGUGGGUUUCUCCUUAGAGUCGAGUUGCUUGAGAGUGCAGCUCUAAGUGGGUGGUAAACUCCAUCUAAGGCUAAAUAUAACCACGAGACCGAUAGCGAACAAGUACCGUGAGGGAAAGUUGAAAAGAACUUUGAAGAGAGAGUUCAAUAGUACGUGAAACCGUUUAGGGGUAAACCUGAGAAACCCGAAUAUUCGAAAAGGGAGAUUCAAUUACUUUUCUAAUAUUAAACAAUAUAUUGUUCGGACAAUGAUGUACUUAUAGUUUAGGCUAUAUUAUACAUUCAAAGCUUCACUUUAUAUUGAACAUUUUAAUAUUGGAGGUAUGCACUUCUCCCUUAGUAGAUCGUUGUGACCCGUUAAAUUUUGUUAUUUACGGCCUAAUUGGUAUUUAGACCGAUAUAAUUUUUUUAAUAAAAUUAUCAUCGGACCAAUAUAGUGUCCCAAUAACAGUAUGACGGUAUAAAUUUUAUUGAUAAAUUGGGUCGCUAAUUUGCGAGCGUUAUAAUUUUAUAGCAAGUAUUUUUAUGUUUAAAUGUAGAAUGGUCGGACUUUAUUGCCCGGUUCUGCACAUAAUAUACUGUUGGUUAUAAAAUUCUUUAACCGUACCCCAAAAAUAUCAGUCAACAACGUUUAGUUUUGGGUACUUUCAGGACCCGUCUUGAAACACGGACCAAGGAGUCUAGCAUGUGCGCGAGUCAUUGGGAUUAUAAAAACCUAAAGGCGUAAUGAAAGUAAAUGUUUACAUUUAUUGUAUUCAGAGGGAAGAUGAGCCUCUAUCAAGAUAUUGGCUCCGCACUCCCGGGGUGUCGUAAACUCAUUGUGAGU